RNAcentral lists this ribosomal RNA (253 nucleotides) under uncultured bacterium. Its description in RNAcentral is "partial 16S ribosomal RNA". It matches the Rfam family "Bacterial small subunit ribosomal RNA", at positions 524 to 776 of the family's 1533-position model. The record is from RNAcentral.
UACGUAGGGGGCAAGCGUUAUCCGGAAUUACUGGGUGUAAAGGGAGCGUAGACGGUAAUGUAAGUCUGGAGUGAAAGGCGGGGGCCCAACCCCCGGACUGCUCUGGAAACUAUGUUACUAGAGUGCAGGAGAGGUAUGCGGAAUUCCUAGUGUAGCGGUGAAAUGCGUAGAUAUUAGGAGGAACACCAGUGGCGAAGGCGGCUUACUGGACUGUAACUGACGUUGAGGCUCGAAAGCGUGGGGAGCAAACAGG